GGUUAAGCGACUAAGCGUACACGGUGGAUGCCCUGGCAGUCAGAGGCGAUGAAGGACGUGCUAAUCUGCGAUAAGCGCCGGUAAGGUGAUAUGAACCGUUAUAACCGGCGAUUUCCGAAUGGGGAAACCCAGUGUGACUCGUCACACUAUCAUUAACUGAAUCCAUAGGUUAAUGAGGCGAACCGGGGGAACUGAAACAUCUAAGUACCCCGAGGAAAAGAAAUCAACCGAGAUUCCCCCAGUAGCGGCGAGCGAACGGGGAGGAGCCCAGAGCCUGAAUCAGCAUGUGUGUUAGUGGAAGCGUCUGGAAAGGCGCGCGAUACAGGGUGACAGCCCCGUACACAAAAGCGCAUGUGCUGUGAGCUCGAUGAGUAGGGCGGGACACGUGGUAUCCUGUCUGAAUAUGGGGGGACCAUCCUCCAAGGCUAAAUACUCCUGACUGACCGAUAGUGAACCAGUACCGUGAGGGAAAGGCGAAAAGAACCCCGGCGAGGGGAGUGAAAAAGAACCUGAAACCGUGUACGUACAAGCAGUGGGAGCACCCUUUGGGGUGUGACUGCGUACCUUUUGUAUAAUGGGUCAGCGACUUAUAUUCUGUAGCAAGGUUAACCGUAUAGGGGAGCCGCAGGGAAACCGAGUCUUAAUUGGGCGUUAAGUUGCAGGGUAUAGACCCGAAACCCGGUGAUCUAGCCAUGGGCAGGUUGAAGGUUGGGUAACACUAACUGGAGGACCGAACCGACUAAUGUUGAAAAAUUAGCGGAUGACCUGUGGCUGGGGGUGAAAGGCCAAUCAAACCGGGAGAUAGCUGGUUCUCCCCGAAAGCUAUUUAGGUAGCGCCUCGUGAACUCAUCUCCGGGGGUAGAGCACUGUUUCGGCUAGGGGGCCAUCCCGGCUUACCAACCCGAUGCAAACUGCGAAUACCGGAGAAUGUUAUCACGGGAGACACACGGCGGGUGCUAACGUCCGUCGUGAAGAGGGAAACAACCCAGACCGCCAGCUAAGGUCCCAAAGUCAUGGUUAAGUGGGAAACGAUGUGGGAAGGCCCAGACAGCCAGGAUGUUGGCUUAGAAGCAGCCAUCAUUUAAAGAAAGCGUAAUAGCUCACUGGUCGAGUCGGCCUGCGCGGAAGAUGUAACGGGGCUAAACCAUGCACCGAAGCUGCGGCAGCGACGCUUAUGCGUUGUUGGGUAGGGGAGCGUUCUGUAAGCCUGCGAAGGUGGCCUGUGAGGGUUGCUGGAGGUAUCAGAAGUGCGAAUGCUGACAUAAGUAACGAUAAAGCGGGUGAAAAGCCCGCUCGCCGGAAGACCAAGGGUUCCUGUCCAACGUUAAUCGGGGCAGGGUGAGUCGACCCCUAAGGCGAGGCCGAAAGGCGUAGUCGAUGGGAAACGGGUUAAUAUUCCCGUACUUGGUGUUACUGCGAAGGGGGGACGGAGAAGGCUAUGUUGGCCGGGCGACGGUUGUCCCGGUUUAAGCGUGUAGGUGUGUGUUCCAGGUAAAUCCGGUUCACUUUAACACUGAGGCGUGAUGACGAGGCACUACGGUGCUGAAGCAACAAAUGCCCUGCUUCCAGGAAAAGCCUCUAAGCAUCAGGUAACAUCAAAUCGUACCCCAAACCGACACAGGUGGUCAGGUAGAGAAUACCAAGGCGCUUGAGAGAACUCGGGUGAAGGAACUAGGCAAAAUGGUGCCGUAACUUCGGGAGAAGGCACGCUGACACGUAGGUGAAGUGAUUUACUCAUGGAGCUGAAGUCAGUCGAAGAUACCAGCUGGCUGCAACUGUUUAUUAAAAACACAGCACUGUGCAAACACGAAAGUGGACGUAUACGGUGUGACGCCUGCCCGGUGCCGGAAGGUUAAUUGAUGGGGUUAUCCGUAAGGAGAAGCUCUUGAUCGAAGCCCCGGUAAACGGCGGCCGUAACUAUAACGGUCCUAAGGUAGCGAAAUUCCUUGUCGGGUAAGUUCCGACCUGCACGAAUGGCGUAAUGAUGGCCAGGCUGUCUCCACCCGAGACUCAGUGAAAUUGAACUCGCUGUGAAGAUGCAGUGUACCCGCGGCAAGACGGAAAGACCCCGUGAACCUUUACUAUAGCUUGACACUGAACAUUGAGCCUUGAUGUGUAGGAUAGGUGGGAGGCUUUGAAGUGUGGACGCCAGUCUGCAUGGAGCCGACCUUGAAAUACCACCCUUUAAUGUUUGAUGUUCUAACGUGGACCCGUGAUCCGGGUUGCGGACAGUGUCUGGUGGGUAGUUUGACUGGGGCGGUCUCCUCCUAAAGAGUAACGGAGGAGCACGAAGGUUGGCUAAUCCUGGUCGGACAUCAGGAGGUUAGUGCAAUGGCAUAAGCCAGCUUGACUGCGAGCGUGACGGCGCGAGCAGGUGCGAAAGCAGGUCAUAGUGAUCCGGUGGUUCUGAAUGGAAGGGCCAUCGCUCAACGGAUAAAAGGUACUCCGGGGAUAACAGGCUGAUACCGCCCAAGAGUUCAUAUCGACGGCGGUGUUUGGCACCUCGAUGUCGGCUCAUCACAUCCUGGGGCUGAAGUAGGUCCCAAGGGUAUGGCUGUUCGCCAUUUAAAGUGGUACGCGAGCUGGGUUUAGAACGUCGUGAGACAGUUCGGUCCCUAUCUGCCGUGGGCGCUGGAGAACUGAGGGGGGCUGCUCCUAGUACGAGAGGACCGGAGUGGACGCAUCACUGGUGUUCGGGUUGUCAUGCCAAUGGCACUGCCCGGUAGCUAAAUGCGGAAGAGAUAAGUGCUGAAAGCAUCUAAGCACGAAACUUGCCCCGAGAUGAGUUCUCCCUGAGACUUAAAGUCUCCUGAAGGAACGUUGAAGACGACGACGUUGAUAGGCCGGGUGUGUAAGCGCAGCGAUGCGUUGAGCUAACCGGUACUAAUGAACCGUGAGGCUUAACCUU
RNAcentral lists this ribosomal RNA (2908 nucleotides) under Salmonella enterica subsp. enterica serovar Shamba. RNAcentral's name for it is "23S ribosomal RNA". It matches the Rfam family "Bacterial large subunit ribosomal RNA". The record is from RNAcentral. Lineage: Bacteria; Pseudomonadati; Pseudomonadota; Gammaproteobacteria; Enterobacterales; Enterobacteriaceae.